GUAAGAAGAGUUAUGAUGCCAGAAUAGUUGUGCAUUAACAAGUAGCAGUUUGCAAAACGAACUCAGCUUGCAAAUUCGGGGAUUACACAAACCUCCCGUCGAGCAGAAGUGCAAAAACUUGCUUGAUCUUGAUUUUCAGGAUGGGUACAGACCGUGAAAGCGGGGCCUCACGAUCCGUUUGGCUUUUUGGAUUUCAAGCAGGAGGUGUCAGAAAAGUUACUACACAGAUAACUGGCUUAUGGCGGCGAAGUGUUCAUAGCGACAUCACUUUUUGAUUCUUUGAUGUCUGCUAUUAUCAUUGUGAAGCAGAAUUCACCAAGCAUUGGAUUGUUCACCCUCUAAUAGGGAACGUGAGCCGCGUUUAGACCGUUGUGAGGCAGGUUAGUUUUACC
RNAcentral lists this non-coding RNA (392 nucleotides) under Scleropages formosus (Asian bonytongue). RNAcentral describes it as "Eukaryotic large subunit ribosomal RNA". It matches the Rfam family "Eukaryotic large subunit ribosomal RNA", at positions 2567 to 2993 of the family's 3401-position model. The record is from Rfam by way of RNAcentral. Lineage: Eukaryota; Metazoa; Chordata; Actinopteri; Osteoglossiformes; Osteoglossidae.